Molecule: small RNA, 162 nt
Filed under: Corchorus olitorius
Lineage: Eukaryota; Viridiplantae; Streptophyta; Magnoliopsida; Malvales; Malvaceae
Description: Manganese sequence
Rfam family: Manganese Mn2+ riboswitch aptamer (yybP-ykoY) (bases 1-133)
About the family: This RNA was originally discovered in E. coli during a large scale screen and was named SraF. The family was later found to exist upstream of related families of protein genes in many bacteria, including the the yybP and ykoK genes in B. subtilis.
Source: Rfam by way of RNAcentral
CAUUGGGGAGUAGCCGCUCGAAGUCGUCACUUCGAGGGCCACGUCAACAGACUUGACCGCCGUCGCAACGACAGGUGGUUAUGGCGUGGUCAGCCGCACUCAGGGUGCCAUCCAUGCACCCGGUGACGCGCCUGGCGAGACCGAUGACAACCCACUGCGGAC